GGUUCAGGAUGCGCCUGCGCACUGUCCCAAAGAGUGAAACUUUAUGUAACAGUUUGCAUAAGCUUUUCAGGAGUACACUGAAAUGUUAGGUGUGGUUAUUGUUGGGAUUGGCACUGCUGGCAGAGUUCGGGUCCGUGAUCUGCUGAAUCCGUUGACAAACAGCGCCAUAGAAAAGCUUAAACUCAUGGGUUUUGUCUCCAGAUGUAGGCAUUAUUUGCUACACCAGUAUUUAUUGGCCAUUCCUAGUUUCCCUUGAGCAGGUUGUGGGGAGCAGCCUUCUUCAGUUGUUUCAGCCCUUGGGAGUUCCAGGAUUCUGACCCAGUGACACUGAAGAAAAGUCAUACCGGAUUCCAAAUGUAAGCUCUGUUUCUCUCUCCACAGAUGCUGCCAAGAUUGCUGUGUUUCUCCAGCAUUCUGUGUGUUUGUUAGUGAAUUUCUUUCAUAAUGCCAGUUGUAGCAACCAUACAAAUGUGUCUAAUAAUUACUAAUGAAAAGUGUAGUGCCAAAUCAAGUGAGGACAGAAUUGGGUUCACAUAUGAACAGACAGAUUGCCAAUAAUUAGGUGCUGUUUGCUGAACUGGUCGUUCUUUGUGAGGAGAAAGUGAGGAUUGCAGAUGCUGGAGAUCAGAGCUGAAAAUGUGUUGCUGGAAAAGCGCAGCAGGUCAGGCAGCAUCCAAUGAACAGGAGAAUCGACGUUUCGGGCAUAAGCCCUUCAGGAAUUGUGAGGAAUUCUUUGUGAGGAGCAGUAUUUGUAGAAAAUGAGGGUAGGGCUCACAGUGCUUUAUUUUCCAUCUAUUUACUUCAAAUGGCAAAAAAUGAGGCAUAUUAGACCUGUGAUUUCCUGAAGACAGACAUUGUGCCAACCUUGUCAGUGAAUCAGCCACUUGUAUCUUAGCUCCCAUAAAUCAGUGGGCAGUUUGAUAACAUCAGUAAAAAUCUAGGCUGUGGCAAAGCUUAAAGAGAGAACUGCAAUGUUUUGUUUUCUUAUGAUGCUGCAUCAAAAGUCUGAUGUGUAAACGAGUACCAGUGGUACCUAUCACCUGCAGAGAAUGGCAUCUAGCGUCUGCCAAUCCAUCAUGACUAUCAUGAUAUCUUCCUGGUACACAGGCAGACUGCUCAUAAGGUACAAUGUGGUUACAGCAAGGCUGAAGCAGGAACAUUUUGCACAGAGGAACAGGCUCCCACACAGAAAGCCUUAUUGCCUAUCCCUAAUCAAUCCUUUCCUUUCCAAAUACAUGUACGUCCUGUCCCUCAGGAUUCCCCCCAAUGUGUUGGCCCCACAGGACUCAAUUAUCAGGGGCAUUGCCUGUCAUUUAAUCUAAGAGUUAUGGGCAUGGCAAAUGGGGUGUCUGGUCAUGCACUGGGGCUGAUCAUCAAAAACAGUCAUAGAUUUGGGAUGAGUCAUCCAUCCAUGUUUCUGAAGGCUUGACUUGGGGAGAGGGAUCAAUGGCAGAUGUGGGUGAAUGAUUGGGAGGGUACUGUUGUGCUGUACACACAUUCUCACUGAUAAGUGGUGCAUGUUCAGUUGGUGUGGCAUUAUAUAUAUCCCUCAUUAUCUGCAUUCAGCAUUUCUCAGUGUGUGUGAAAAUAUACAUAGCCACUUCUGCAAGGUUCGCCACUAAUGACUGUUCUGACAUUUCAGAAACUUUUUUGCUCCUUUUGUGCCCACGUUUGGUCCUUUUUACACCAAGAUUUCUGUACCCAGCCACUAGUGAUAACUAGGCAGUGACCAACCUAAGGUGAAGACAGAUGCAGAACAAACACAGAUGGCAGCAAGCCCAGGAGCAGCCACUCAUAUCUCUUCCACCCCCCUCCAUUUCCUGGCGAUGAGUGAGGUGCCUAAUUAAUACAGGCUUCAUAUGUCCUGGGACACUGUGAUGAAACUUACCAGAAAUGGGACCGGAGGGCUGCAGGAAUUUAGACUGGCUCCUCUGAGUGCCUGCGAAAGUUACUGCUACACUGAACUUCUUUGUAACUGACUCCUUCCAGGGAGUGAUGGGUGACCGGUUUGGGAUCUCUGUACAAAAACAUCAUGACCGUGACUAUUGCUAUCUGUGUAAGGUCACAUCGGUUCAUUUUAUUCCUAAAGACAACAUCAGUGUUUAGCCUGGGAGUUGGAUUCAGGAGUUUCCUGAACAUAGUGAGUAUCCCUUAUGGCAGUUGCCAUCAACUGCAUGCAUAUGACUCUGAGAAAGCAUUAUCACAGAGCCACAGAAUUCAUCAAUAGGAAGGGGUUCCUCUUCUUUAAUGUUCAGGUGAUCUGUAAUCACUGUUACCGUUUCCUGGAGGUAUUUGUCUGGUACUUUGACAGCAACCUUCUCUCCUACCUCCUGGAGCACGCUGACAUACUUGGU
Molecule: non-coding RNA, 2354 nt
Organism: Chiloscyllium plagiosum (whitespotted bambooshark)
Lineage: Eukaryota; Metazoa; Chordata; Chondrichthyes; Orectolobiformes; Hemiscylliidae
Source: RefSeq, a predicted model, not a curated record